Molecule: long non-coding RNA, 349 nt
Organism: Phyllostomus discolor (pale spear-nosed bat)
Lineage: Eukaryota; Metazoa; Chordata; Mammalia; Chiroptera; Phyllostomidae
Exons: 2
Source: RefSeq, a predicted model, not a curated record
AGGAUUUGCCUGAGUGUAACGCCACUGCAGACACCCUGGCAAAAAUAGCUGCUGCAGCCACCACCUCUGAAGACGACUAUUCCCUUGCCCAAUGGAUACACCAUAAAGCAGGACAUUUAGGAACACAAGUUAUGCACACGGCUUCUCCUUGGACGGUAGAUGAUAUGAAUGAUCAAAGCCUGGACACCUGGAACUCUUCUUGCCAGCCUGACGCCACCACACCUGUGGCUCUUUUGGACUAACAUCAGCCAUUCUCAACGGAUCAGCACCAACCAGACAUGACAACAAGAUAACGUCACUUGUUCAGCCCAACAUUGUAAUGUGUUCAAAUAAAAUAUUCUGACUUUUA